This 64-nucleotide transfer RNA is filed under the name Xenorhina sp. TNHC-GDC 31177. RNAcentral describes it as "tRNA-Ser". The record is from RNAcentral. Lineage: Eukaryota; Metazoa; Chordata; Amphibia; Anura; Microhylidae.
AGAAAGUAAGAUAAAUGAAUCUGGCUUGAAACCGGGUUAUGGGGGUUUAAUUCCCUCCUUUCUU